CUCACGAACUGAGAGAUUAUGACCUGAACUGAAGUCAGAGGCUCAACCGACUGAGCUACCCAGGCAGCCUCCAAGGUCACUGUGUUCAUCAGCUCAAGCCUUAAAGGAAUCUGGUGGAUCAAAGUUGAAGAUUUUUAUCGUCAAGACCUGGAAAUAAACACUUCCUCAUUUU
Felis catus (domestic cat) is the source of this 172-nucleotide long non-coding RNA. RefSeq lists it as uncharacterized. The transcript is spliced from 2 exons. NCBI's taxonomy places the organism in Eukaryota, Metazoa, Chordata, Mammalia, Carnivora, Felidae. The record is from RefSeq and is a predicted model, not a curated record.